This is a long non-coding RNA of Triticum dicoccoides, 2250 nucleotides long. RefSeq lists it as uncharacterized. NCBI's taxonomy places the organism in Eukaryota, Viridiplantae, Streptophyta, Magnoliopsida, Poales, Poaceae. The record is from RefSeq and is a predicted model, not a curated record. The transcript is spliced from 3 exons.
UUAGCUUUCACGACUAACCUAGGUCGUUCCCUUUCCCCAGCCUCCCCUUCUCCUCUCGAGCCCUCCCAUGCCGGCCGCCGCCGCUCGUCAGUCGUUGCCACUCCUUUGCGCGGCUGCGACCUACCUGCAUCCCUGCACGCCGCCCCUCACCACUCCCCUGUGAUCCUCUGUCCCGGCGCCGCUCCUCACCGCUGCCCUGCGACCCUCCGUCCUAGCGCGCCGCCCCUCGUCACCACCCCUGCAGCCCUGCAUCCCGGCGCGCCGCCCCUCGUCACCGCUCCCCUGCGACCAACGGUGAAUCCAAGGUACGGCCAUGAACAAGCACAGGCAACCGCAUCCCUCGUUCCACAUCCGUAGCCCCUCGCGGUACCAAUGCAUCAUCCACAUCUGUAGCCCCGUUCGUCCUCCUCCAGUGCUCCUCCUCCUAAUUGUUCUCCACUAUUCACGUGUCCUCCAUGUAAAACGAUCCAGGAAGCCUCUCCCUUUUUUUGCGAAUAGGAAUCCUCUCCCUGAUCCCUGCUCUGCAACCUUUUAAUAUCCACUGCACCAGGACAUCCUUCCAAUUUCGCAUUCCAUGCCCAACCAAAACUGAAAUCCAAUGCAGCGGAAAAGGCGGUACAUCAAAGACAGUUUGUAUCUGAUUGGACAGCCCCUAUUGUUGGUGAAGUUGCCGAGAAGAGGAACUAUUGCAGGCUGGCCGCAGGUACAGAAGGAGCAAGAAGAGAACAUCUGAAGCUACGUACUACUUGGAUGGCUAAAUUUGUGCUAUACAAGCAAUUAGGUGAUUCAAUUCAGCGAAGGCGUGGUCGUACCUCUGCACAGCAAACUCAAGCACCACUUCUAAUAUUGUUGGAAAGUGGAUAAGUCGGUUUGGAGCAGUACACGAUUUGUUCAAUGUACUUCGCUAUGUUCCUUACAUGCAAAAGGUACGGGUUUGUUUACUUGAAAUGUUCUUUCAAUUUUAUCCUCACCCAGUGAUCCACAGCUUAAAAGCACAAACUACUCUGUUCAGAUGGAAUAUCUUUGAUAGUGUUAUUGCAGACUUGAAGGUAUAUGCAUCAGGAGGUCAAGGUGGCAGUGGCACCGUAACAGUAUUUAUUUGAAACUACACGCGAGAUCAAAAAAUGAUUCUAAGUUAACCUCUUUCCUCAUAUAUUUGUCUGCUUGGUUUGUUUUAAUGCCGUUCUUUUGUUAAAUUGAUGUACUAAAUAAUUAAGAACAUUUAUGGUGCUAGAACUUGCUUAGGAAGAGCUGUUAUGAAAUUAAGAUCUGGUUUUUGUAAUUUGCUGACUGAAUCCAUGAUACUAAACUGUAUGUUUGUUGUAGUUCAUAUAUAUGUUAUACAUACAUGUGCAGUUACUAGGCACGCAUUGUGAGUAGAUAAGUUGAGUCUCCAUUUAUUUCGUUAAGCACAAAAUAUGAUCUUGCAUACAUGUAUUUCCAUUCUCAUAUAAUGGAAAAUAUACUAAAGGAAAGACUCAUGCUGUAUGCUUCUGAUUCAUGUUGAAAGUGUGUAACCUGUUUUCCACAAUUCUUCCUUUUCACAUAAUAGGAAAAGGUCAGUAACAAAAAAAGGAAGCUCACUGAGCACAUCAUUACAGAUCACCUGACGAAAGCCCAGGCGAUGAAGAGGAUAAUCAAGUUGAGAGCCCCGACCGAGGACGUAUAAUGGCUGAAUGAACUUCUCAUCUGCGCUUUGGCUGCAUCCCGUGCCUCCAGGUGUGUAGGUAUUGGCUUCAUACUGUUCUAUUUUAUACACGCACGUACUGGACUAGAGGUUUGAUUUCUAGGACAAUAUCUUAUUUACUACUUUACACCUUUUUGCAUGAUGCAUGGAUGAGGAGCUCAUAUAAGUUUGGAGAGCAUGGAUCAUAUGAUUAGUUUCAGUGGGGCUAAGCUAAAAGAGGAUUAAUGAUGCUUACAAUACGUAUAUGCACAGCCACGCAUUUUUUGAUAUUGGUUCAAAAGAUAAAUGGAUGAUUAUAUGGGUAUGUGGCAAAUAUACUGAUGAUGAUAAUGAUGAUGAUUAUGAUGUUGGAUGCUUUCAAUUUUAGUUAAGUUGUAGGAAUGAUGUUCCUCUGUUAAGUUUUAGUUAAGUUGUAGUGAUGUUGAGGGAUGCUUUUGGUUUUCAUUUUGUUGUCAAGAAAAUAUUUAGAUUAUGCAUCACAUUUGGAUGAUGUUCCUCCUGUAAUAUCCACUGUUGUAAUCCAACAAUUUUAUAUAAUAUAUGAUUUCUUCCUCCUGUGAGUA